UUCCAGCUCCAAUAGCGUAUAUUAAAGUUGUUGCAGUUAAAAAGCUCGUAGUUGAACUUUGGGCCCGGUUGGCCGGUCCGAUUUUUUCGUGUACUGGAUUUCCAACGGGGCCUUUCCUUCUGGCUAACCUUGAGUCCUUGUGGCUCUUGGCGAACCAGGACUUUUACUUUGAAAAAAUUAGAGUGUUCAAAGCAGGCGUAUUGCUCGAAUAUAUUAGCAUGGAAUAAUAGAAUAGGACGUUUGGUUCUAUUUUGUUGGUUUCUAGGACCAUCGUAAUGAUUAAUAGGGACGGUCGGGGGCAUCAGUAUUCAAUUGUCAGAGGUGAAAUUCUUGGAUUUAUUGAAGACUAACUACUGCGAAAGCAUUUGCCAAGGACGUUUUCAUUAAUC
RNAcentral lists this ribosomal RNA (389 nucleotides) under Saccharomyces cerevisiae (brewer's yeast). RNAcentral describes it as "SSU rRNA". It matches the Rfam family "Eukaryotic small subunit ribosomal RNA", at positions 583 to 978 of the family's 1831-position model. The record is from RNAcentral. Lineage: Eukaryota; Fungi; Ascomycota; Saccharomycetes; Saccharomycetales; Saccharomycetaceae.